Drosophila montana is the source of this 951-nucleotide long non-coding RNA. RefSeq lists it as uncharacterized. The transcript has 2 exons. The record is from RefSeq and is a predicted model, not a curated record. NCBI's taxonomy places the organism in Eukaryota, Metazoa, Arthropoda, Insecta, Diptera, Drosophilidae.
AUCUACGGGCGAACGCAACGGGGGAAUUGAGUGCGACUCGACUCGACUGAGGAGAUCUGAGAGACAUUUGCUUACGUACAUCGGCCGGUUCCACGACAAUCACCUUGUUCCUGCCCAGGCGAGAGGAGAGCUUGGCGGCCAUGGCGCAGCCGCCGGACCCGCCGCCAACAACCAAAACUUUACAGCUGCAAAUAUUAUAAAAAGUUACUCAAGCUCGUAAUUACCGGAACAUGUUAAAAAAGAAGAACCACAACAACAACAACAAAAAGACACGAACUUAAAUUUCGAUCAAUCAUUCGUAUUCCGAUCCGGACCUAAUCCGCAGACUGAUUUGCAUACCGAAAGAUAUGGCUACAUCGAAAGCUGAUCAAGAAUACGAAAUACCCUCUACAAGGGUAAAAUAACAUGUAUAACCGACUGCGCAAUACUCUGUUGCAAUGAAAAACUGUGCUUAAUUUAAACGAAAAUUUGCAUCUUUCUUUAACUAACAAGAAUUUUGCUAUCAGCUAAUGAAAUUUUAACCUUGGAUCUUAUGCUAUCUAUAAAAUGUUUGGACUGUGCUUUCAUUCCCGUCAAAGUUGACGUGCAACCAAUAUACCCGACGGCACCUUGCGAACAGGAUACAUAUGUACAUAAAAAUGGGAAUGCAACUGUCCAAAUUAACGAUCCCCAACGGAACCUGUUUGUUUACCGGCUACCCAUGGUGGGGGCGGGGGUGGGGGUGUGGGUGUGGCAGGCGAAAACUUACUCGUGUUUGUCGUGAAGCGCUUGGCUCGCCGAUAGAUGUCGCACCAGGAAGCGCUCGCUGAGGCGGCGUGUGGCCAGGAGCCUGGACUGUCUAAGGGCCAGCGGCAGGCAAGUGUAGGAGCUCAUUGUGUAUACAAAACCGUUUGGAUCAUGCGAUCGGCAACUUGUUGCUAUUAAAGAUAUCUCUGUAUAUAUAUGUAUGUA